Molecule: long non-coding RNA, 341 nt
Organism: Acomys russatus (golden spiny mouse)
Lineage: Eukaryota; Metazoa; Chordata; Mammalia; Rodentia; Muridae
Exons: 4
Source: RefSeq, a predicted model, not a curated record
GACCUGGGCAUUUAUUGCUCGACUACAGAAGACUGGCUUUCCCCAGGGUUCAUUUGUGUGGUAAUACAUUUCAUCCCGGCGAACAAUCAGAAAAUCAAAUUGACUUUGGGAGUUAUUACUUUGCAGAUUUACAGAUGUUACAGCCUCAUCCCCCUUUGCUUCCAGAAAGCAUGUUGCAGCAGAAAAUGCCGCAUCUGUGUGAAAUGGAGUGUCAGCAACAGUUAGGGUACUUGCCCAGAGUAGCCAGAGGUAGCAGGUCCAUUUUGAGCUGGCGUGAACUGCCUGAUACAGCUGAGCUUGUGUCCUUUCAACUUAACAGCAUAGACAUCUCUCUGGAAACC